UACAGGGGGUGCUAGCGUUGUUCGGAAUUACUGGGCGUAAAGGGCGCGUAGGCGGUCUUGCAAGUCAGGGGUGAAAUCCCGGAGCUUAACUCCGGAAUUGCUUUUGAUACUGUGAGGCUAGAGUGAGUUAGAGGAUGGCGGAAUUCCCGGUGUAGAGGUGAAAUUCGUAGAUAUCGGGAGGAACACCAGUGGCGCAGGCGGCGCUCUGGACCGACCCUGACGCUGAGACGCGAAAGCGUGGGUAGCAAACAGG
This 253-nucleotide ribosomal RNA is filed under the name uncultured bacterium. Its description in RNAcentral is "partial 16S ribosomal RNA". It matches the Rfam family "Bacterial small subunit ribosomal RNA", at positions 524 to 776 of the family's 1533-position model. The record is from RNAcentral.